RNAcentral lists this long non-coding RNA (1136 nucleotides) under Sus scrofa (pig). RNAcentral describes it as "lncRNA (ENSSSCG00060065325.1)". Lineage: Eukaryota; Metazoa; Chordata; Mammalia; Artiodactyla; Suidae. The record is from RNAcentral.
CACCAGUGUGGGCCAGGCUGACAUGGGCAUUUACUGCUGUAUGGCACGAAAUGUGGCCAAUGCCUGCCACAGCCAGGAUGCUCAGCUGACCUUGAAGGUGGGAUCCCCACAGCUGCUGCAGGAACUCGAGAUCCUGUCUGGGCCUCAGAACCUGACUCUCAAGCACACUGAUGCUGGCAGGGAUCUCAGCCAAGGAUGAGGCCAUCUACCAAUGUGUGGCAGAGAACAGUGCAGGCUCCAACCAGGCUAGUGCCCGCCUGGCUGUGACAGGAGACCUUGAGCCACCCCCUGCCUCCAAGGGUCUGCAGGCAGUGGCUCUCUCCCCUUCUGCCAUCCAAGUGUCCUGAGAACAUCAUCAGCUAUGUGCUGCACCUCCAGCCUGUGGGAGACAGGGUCCCAUGAGUGCCGGGCAGUGCCUCAGACUGUCUUGGACAGAGCAAGGGACCACAGAGGCCAGGCUCCAAGUGGACGGAAGCUGGGGGAGAAGACUGAACUCAUCACCCAGGUGAGGGGGAUUAAAGGGAGGGGAAAGUGGUGUGCUUGAGGCCCUGGGUCUGGGUCUGACCAUCUCCUUCCCGCUCAGGUGAUCAGCCUAAGGGCUCCCUCCCAGAUGCCACUAACUCCAGCCCUACCAAAGAAUGUACCUCACCUUUGAGUCAGAAAAGGUCCCUCAGCCCUUCUCUGGGGAGGUGCAGGACCGACCACAGGGAGAGAGAAGAGGGUGUGAUUUCUCUAUUUCUCUCUUCUCCUCAAGAAAUGGGGGGUAUCUGUGUCUUCCCCAACACACCAAAUAACCUCAAACUAAACCAGGCUCAGGUGGGAGUCCUCCCCAACUUGUUAGUCCUGCCUCCUGACCCCACUGAAUCUAUCCUCUUGAUCUAAAUAUGAACUAACCAAAGAUACCUAGCUAUAAGGGUUCCUCCCAAGAGGGGAGGCAGGGCAAGGGACUCUGUCAGUACCUCCAUGGACCAACUCCAGCCCCUAGCCUUGCUCAUGCCCAAGCUGGGGUCUGACCCCAGGAAAGGCACCCUGCAUUCCUGGUGGACUGAAUGGGCAGGUAGACAAAGGGGCUGCUCAGUAUCUUGCCCCCCUUGUCCCAACACCAGAAGAGUUCUGAAUACCUGAGCUCACAUGCU